UAGGGAAUCUUCCACAAUGGACGAAAGUCUGAUGGAGCAACGCCGCGUGAGUGAAGAAGGUUUUCGGAUCGUAAAGCUCUGUUGUUGGUGAAGAAGGAUAGAGGCAGUAACUGGUUUCUAUUUGACGGUGAUCAACCAGAAAGUCACGGCUAACUACGUGCCAG
This 164-nucleotide ribosomal RNA is filed under the name uncultured bacterium. Its description in RNAcentral is "partial 16S rRNA". It matches the Rfam family "Bacterial small subunit ribosomal RNA", at positions 355 to 511 of the family's 1533-position model. The record is from RNAcentral.